CAUUUUUAGUUUUCUCUGGCUCUCUCAGUCUCUGGCUCUCCGUCUAUCAAAAAUCCGUCUAUGAAAUCAGUCCGAUCAGCUGUGGUCUUUAUACCGAUUCAGAUUCGUCCACUCUCAUGGAAGAAGAAAUCGAAUCAAUCCCGUAAGAAGAAGGAGAUGAAGAAGAAGAAUGAUUAUGAUGAUAUCAAGGAGGGAUUUGACCAUUGAACCAUCCAAGGAUAGGCAAUUGACGAAGAAGAUGAAGAAGGUGAGGAAGAAGAAGAAGAUGAUGAUGAUGAUGAUGAUGAUGAUGAUGGGUGAUCGACAAGGUAUCUGUCUCAACUCCUCUUCUGAUAUUAAAAAUUGAAAAUUAGGGUUUUGAUUUUGGGGGUCAAAAUAGUUGACCCGAAAGUCAGAAAAAAGAGAGUGGCCCUUAAAGUGAAUUAACCUGUAAAUAACGAAUUACUGUUUUUAUAAAAAGAGCGCCAUUUUUUUCCAUGUCUAUUCUCUUCACAAAUAGUACCCGAGUAGUUCUUGAAUUCUCUUAGAGAUCAUACUUAAAUCAAAACCUAAUUACAACAAAGAAAAAUAUCUUCUUCAUCAUCAUCAUAUUGAGAAUAUAGCAAUCUCUUUGUUUGAAAUCGUUUCUUUGUCAAAUUUAUCAUCAUCUUUUUUGUAUAUUUAUCUGUCUAUAUUCUGCAUCUACCGAACCCUUUGUAUAUGUAUGUAUUGGGCCCUGAUGUCGAGAAAAGUUUAGCUCACUCAGUGUUCUGCUCCAGAAGUUGUUGUAGGAGGUUAGUGCUUUCUGUGGGUUUUUCCUUUUCUGUAGUAAAUAGAAUUCCUACUAAGAAAAGUUAGUGGGUACUUGGCUCAGGUAAACGUAUUUGCUGAUUUGGAUUCUGUUGUACAUGAGUAGAAAGAAUCUAAAAUAAAUUUAUGAUGUCGAUGAGAUUCCCCUUUAAUGAAGUGAUAUUUGUGUUCCAGCGGGAUACAAAUGAUGUACCGCUCUUAGUGAGCUGAGGUUGAUGUGGUCAUUAUUGAAAUUUGGAGAAAUGUAUAAGCAUUUAUGUAAGUGAGUACAUGAUCUCACUUGGGUUCUUCCCAGCAUUCUGAUGAGCUCUCUAAAUGACAUUGACAAGAUAUUACAUUGUUAAACGCGACCCACUGUGGCAUAAGACAGUGAUGCCUCCAGGGCCAGGCUAGGUUCCAAGCAAAUGUUUGAUAAGCAAUACCUUGUCAAAUGGAAAGGAAUAUCAUAUCUGCACUGCACAGCACAUGGUAAUUCCUCCCAGACACUGAUUAGGGUGCUUGAGAAGUAAUUUCUUAAGGAUUUUAAGACACAUUCUGGUCUGAGGAGUCAAGUAAAUAAAUUUAAUAAAAAGUCCACGACUGUGAAUUACUCCGACAAUGACGUCGUGGCAAUUCGCCCCUACAUGAAGAAGACCUUCAGAAAAAGAGCAUUUAGUGAGAUAUAUCAUGUUCUUAGGUGUCUGAUAUGUAUUAUAGCUAAAUUCGUCAUUACAUUUGUCUUUAUCUUGGUACUAUUAAUUUUAUGAUCGAGCCAACCCUAUAGAACCACUUCUGUUAUUCGACCUUUAGAAUUCAUUGUUGUUUAGAAAAAGGAACCACAUCUUUGGUCCUAUGUCUUAAAGUCCUUGUCUUAUUUUCAGCCCUCUUUAGAAUGUCGGCUAGUGUUUUUGUUAACCUGCGUGGUGUUUGGGAGCCUGUUUAGUUUUUAAGCACCAGGACGUGUUAAUGCCCUCUCUUCAUCAUUUGACAUUCCGCCCCCUUUAUCAAGCUGGGGAACAAGGAAAGAAUACUUCUAUUCUUAACUGAAGGAUAGGAUAGUCUCCAAUUAUGGCAAUUUGCUUAACGAAGUGGGCUUUUCCAACUUGUAGAAAUACCUGGUGACAUCACGUCCCUGUUUCUCUUUCCUCAGUACCAAGGCAUUAUUUUAGAACCUCCUGGUUUAUGUUCAGCUCAGUUUGUAUCUCUCAGUGAAAACUAAAGAUACAAACUGGGAAUGCGAAUUUGGACCUGGCCUCCCCACGGAAGUGUGGUAUGUAUUAUGGGAACUUAUCAAAACACUUUGAUGUGCUUAUUGGUAAUGAAACUCCUCAUCCAUUGUCCUGGUCAGCCAUACAGUGUGAGUACCUUCACAGUAUUUUUUUUUUUUUAUGUUGCAGAAUUAUUUUUGAGUUUCCUGGCAUUGAGUGAAAAAAAAGGCCAUAAUCAGUUUGGAGUUUUUUUUUUUUUUGGUAAGAAUCAAUUUGGAGUUUCAGCAUGCCAGCAAUGUUAGUCAGGUGUAAACAUUUACUCCUAAGCUGUGAGCUUUCUGUGUGUGCACGUGAGCUCACUAAGCUGUCUAUGCUGCACGUGUGUGUCCUCGCGUAUCUCACAUUAUUUGUACACUACGUCAAUUUAUAUUCCAUAUACAUCAGUGAAUGAUCCGAACACCAA
This is a long non-coding RNA of Papaver somniferum (opium poppy), 2439 nucleotides long. RefSeq lists it as uncharacterized. The transcript has 4 exons. NCBI's taxonomy places the organism in Eukaryota, Viridiplantae, Streptophyta, Magnoliopsida, Ranunculales, Papaveraceae. The record is from RefSeq and is a predicted model, not a curated record.